Non-coding RNA from Mycena floridula, 103 nucleotides. The record is from the annotation of a GenBank genome assembly. Lineage: Eukaryota; Fungi; Basidiomycota; Agaricomycetes; Agaricales; Mycenaceae.
GCCCGCCUAGCUCAAUCGGAUAGAGCAUUCGACUCUUAUGCUGAUGUAAUUGUUGUGGCGCGUGCGGAUCGAAAGGCUGCGAGUUCGACCCUCGCGGUGGGCU